Meriones unguiculatus (Mongolian gerbil) is the source of this 664-nucleotide long non-coding RNA. RefSeq lists it as uncharacterized. The transcript has 3 exons. The record is from RefSeq and is a predicted model, not a curated record. Lineage: Eukaryota; Metazoa; Chordata; Mammalia; Rodentia; Muridae.
GUCCCGGCAGCCGAUUUCCGGGUGGCUUAAAGGGACCGCGCCCCCGCAGGCUCCGCAGAAUGUGGCGGAAGCGUGUUUCUUCCGCCGGGCCCCGGGAAGUGCGAAUGUGGCCGUCAGUCUCGGGACUCUCUCUGGCUCAGUUUUUCCACCCCGCGCCACUUGUGCCCGAUGUUAGUGAUGCUCCUGUCCCCGCCUCCUGAAUGCUGGAAUCCCAGAAGUGAACUACCCUGCCCAUCCCAGUUUUUUCGUUGCUGUAAUUUGGGAAAGGAGCAUGCAUGCCAUGGCGCAGGCGUGGAGGCCAGAAGAUCCUGUAGACGUCGGGGUCUAAGGAUUAGACUCCCACAUGGGGUCUAGGGAGCAAACUCAGGCUUGUCUGCACACCAUGUGUGCAGUGCCGGCAGCGGCCAAAAGAGGGCGUCAUCUCCACUGGAACUCGAGUUAAAAGUGAAGCUCAGUGUGGGUCUUGGGAAACCAACCCUGAAAGGGCAGCCAGUGCGCCUACCCAAGGAGCCAUCACCCCAGCCUCUACACACGUUUUUAAAAUAACAUUUUAAUGGGCUCAGGCUAUAACUAAGUGUAUGAGAACUUCUCCAGGAUGCGUGAAGUCCUAAACGCACACACACACGCCACCACCUACGCAGUCAGUUCAGCGGGGGCAGAGCAU